Molecule: small nuclear RNA, 108 nt
Organism: Cavia porcellus (domestic guinea pig)
Lineage: Eukaryota; Metazoa; Chordata; Mammalia; Rodentia; Caviidae
Source: Ensembl
GUGCUCACUUCGGCAGCACAUAUACUAAAAUUGGAACAAUAUAGAGAAGAUUAGCAUGGCCCCUGCGCAAGGGAUGACAUGCAAAUUCGUGAAGCAUUCCAUAUUUUU